CACGUAGGCGGAUCUUUAAGUCAGGGGUGAAAUCCUGGAGCUCAACUCCAGAACUGCCUUUGAUACUGGGGAUCUCGAGUCCGGGAGAGGUGAGUGGAACUGCGAGUGUAGAGGUGAAAUUCGUAGAUAUUCGCAAGAACACCAGUGGCGAAGGCGGCUCACUGGCCCGGUACUGACGCUGAGGUGCGAAAGCGUGGAAGCAAACA
RNAcentral lists this ribosomal RNA (206 nucleotides) under uncultured bacterium. RNAcentral's name for it is "partial 16S ribosomal RNA". It matches the Rfam family "Bacterial small subunit ribosomal RNA", at positions 568 to 774 of the family's 1533-position model. The record is from RNAcentral.